This 506-nucleotide ribosomal RNA is filed under the name Tuber borchii (whitish truffle). Its description in RNAcentral is "eukaryotic LSU rRNA". It matches the Rfam family "Eukaryotic large subunit ribosomal RNA", at positions 65 to 573 of the family's 3401-position model. The record is from RNAcentral. Lineage: Eukaryota; Fungi; Ascomycota; Pezizomycetes; Pezizales; Tuberaceae.
CCAACAGGGAUUGCCUCAGUAACGGCGAGUGAAGCGGCAAAAGCUCAAAUUUGAAAUCUGGCAUCUUUGGUGUCCGAGUUGUACUUUGGAGAGGCAUCUUCUGGAGGGGCCCAGCCUAUGUGCCUUGGAACAGGACGUCAUAGAGGGUGAGAAUCCCGUCCUUGGCUGGAUGUUCCCUCCUGUAUGUAGUGUCUUCUACGAGUCGAGUUGUUUGGGAAUGCAGCUCAAAAUGGGUGGUAAAUUUCAUCUAAAGCUAAAUAUUGGCGAGAGACCGAUAGCGCACAAGUAGAGUGAUCGAAAGAUGAAAAGCACUUUGAAAAUAGAGUCAAACAGUACGUGAAAUUGUUGAAAGGGAAGCGCUUGAGACCAGAGUCAGCCUUUGGCAAACAACUGUCCAUUUAGGGGCGGUGCACUUGUUAUUGGUUGGGCCAGCAUCGGUUGGGACGGCAGGAUAAAGGCCCGGGGAAUGUGACUCCUUCAAGGAGUGUUAUAGUCCUGGGCGGCAU